RNAcentral lists this unclassified non-coding RNA (94 nucleotides) under Menoidium pellucidum. Its description in RNAcentral is "SL-RNA". Lineage: Eukaryota; Euglenozoa; Anisonemea; Natomonadida; Astasiidae. The record is from RNAcentral.
ACAUUACUGAGUGGAAUCAUUUUUUCGGUAUAAAUCACUUCCACUCUGUGGAACCGGAAGCUUUGCGCUUCCAAUUUUUGCAACCCGAAAAGGG